UUUCUCUUCAGAUUGCAUAAAUCUUUCACCUUUUACUAAAAAUUUCCGUGGAGAAGAA
Molecule: small nuclear RNA, 58 nt
Filed under: Sorex araneus (European shrew)
Lineage: Eukaryota; Metazoa; Chordata; Mammalia; Eulipotyphla; Soricidae
Description: U5 spliceosomal RNA (ENSSARG00000019337.1)
Rfam family: U5 spliceosomal RNA
About the family: U5 RNA is a component of both types of known spliceosome. The precise function of this molecule is unknown, though it is known that the 5' loop is required for splice site selection and p220 binding, and that both the 3' stem-loop and the Sm site are important for Sm protein binding and cap methylation.
Source: RNAcentral